GGGCACUUGGCGCAGUGGUAGCGCGUUCGCUUUGCAUUCUCAUCUGCGUGCGAAAGGACGGGAGUUCGAUCCUCUCAGUGUCCA
Molecule: non-coding RNA, 84 nt
Organism: Cerrena zonata
Lineage: Eukaryota; Fungi; Basidiomycota; Agaricomycetes; Polyporales; Cerrenaceae
Source: the annotation of a GenBank genome assembly